Molecule: small RNA, 800 nt
Filed under: Vigna angularis var. angularis
Lineage: Eukaryota; Viridiplantae; Streptophyta; Magnoliopsida; Fabales; Fabaceae
Description: Non-protein coding transcript
Source: RNAcentral
CUAUUAUAUAAUCUUUAUCCAUAGGUCCAAAAAAUCUAUAAACACAACACGUUAGGAAACACUUGCUCAAUUCUUUUUUUAUAAUUCAUUAUAUUAUCAAAUAUUCAAUAAUCAUCAUAUCAAACCUCUAACUCAGACACUGUUGAUUCAAAAACGAUUUUCGGUUCAUAUGUCCAAAACAUACACUUAAAAGUAGUUAGUCACUUGGAAGGGGAACAUAUUUUGCUGUUGUACUGUUAUAUAUAUGUAGACAUCAUGAUUUUUCAACAGCAAAUUGUGCCUUCAACAUCGUAUAUAUCCUCGAAUGCUCCUUCAACAAGGUUAUGCCUCAUUCUCCAAAUGACUCUGCAUUGAUGCAAAAGAAUGGAUAUGAACUUUGAUAUGUACAUAAGCUGUACAUUUAAAGUGUUUAAUAAAAACUAUCAUCUUCACUUCUCGUCUCUGCACCAUGAUGUCUCUUCUCAAAGGAAAACUCUGAUGAACUAACUCUGAUUUCAAGCUGAGAGCUUGUAGGCAAUUCUGGGACUGAGCUUGAGCCUGACUCCAUUACUUGCAUUUGAGUUUCUUCACCAGCUGCAUGGUUGCUUUUGGAAGGUGAGCCUUCAAUAUCCCAUUGUUCAUUUUCAUAGUUGGAUGUCCUAGGAGAUGUUUGUGCACUAUCACUUCUACCAGCAAGGUGUUUUUGCAGCAGAUGCAUAGGAGACAUACCAUAGGUUGGCGUUGAUGGCCUGCUUGAGAAUGGUGUGGUUGGCUUACUGUUUUUUACUUGCUUUUUGGCCGUGUUGUGCCAGUUCUUCAGU